RNAcentral lists this ribosomal RNA (1365 nucleotides) under Triticum aestivum (bread wheat). RNAcentral's name for it is "partial small subunit ribosomal RNA". Lineage: Eukaryota; Viridiplantae; Streptophyta; Magnoliopsida; Poales; Poaceae. The record is from RNAcentral.
AUGGGUCGUGCCCUUCUUCCUCGGGGCCCAUCCUCAUCUUUAUCUAGUGCAGCGGUGAGGCGGAUGCAGAGGCGAAGGAGCGCCAACAACAAGGCAAAUACAAGUAGUCGAUCUCUUCUCCUCAUGGCACAUGUCAAACAGAGCGACACAAGGAGGACCGUGGCCAUCAAUUUCCUGGUCAUUGCUAUGAUGUUUGCUUCCACUUUGCCACCCUGCCAUGCACUCAAGAUGGAGUGCAUUGGGGAAGAGAAAGGAACCAGGGGCAGAUCCUCCCCCGGCGGCGGCGGCACCGCCGGAGAAGACGUCCCCAGCAGCCCAUCCGUCACCGCAUCGCCGUCUCCUUCCGCCUCCGCGAGGCAAGGCCUCUCCUCUCCCGCCCCCUCUGCCUCUGCGUCAAUUUGGCACGGUUGGAUGCUAGUUUGCCGCGAUUACCGCAUCAUGGAAAACCCCAGCAAACUGUCCGCCGUCUCCCUCGCCACACCCCCUGCUUUUUCCCGGCUCCAAGGUUGGGCUGACCUCCCAUAUGGUUUGCUCCAUUCCAUCGUUGCUCGGUUGGCCUCUGUCCGAGACAUUCUUGGCUUCGCGGCAAGAUGCCCAUCUUGGCGUGCUGCCUUCUCAUACCCAUCCAAAUCUACGUUCGGCAUAAAAUGCCCGCCUCUCCUCAUCCAACUCAAUGUUCGUGUAGAAGGUCCUCUUCUUCCUGCUACUAAUGGUUGCCGUGAUAUGUACACAUGUAAGGUUGUUGAUCCAGCCAACUCGAAUGCCGCCCUUCACUGCCAGAUUCCUCAAGAAACUAUGGAGAAGAUGACAUGUAUCGGCCCUCCCUAUGGUAAUCUCAGUAAUCUCAUCUACUACUGCGACGGGUACUGUCACAUAGUAGAUGUGUUCACUGGCGUGGAGGAGACCCCCCCCUCGCAUCACACAACUCACAUCUCCUUCUCAGCACCAAGUUCUACCUGUUUGAUUGGCCUAUUGGAAGCAACUCUUGGUCCCAAGUUCAACUUCCUUAUAUAUAUGUUGAAAACGGACCAGAUUGUGGAAUUCAAUGGCCAGUUCAUUCUCUCGGAUGGCAAUGGGCGGUUCCACUAUGUGCAGCUGGCCCCGCAGCUUGGUUUGCAGGACAAGCAGGACUGGAGUCCAGAACCUCAUGAUAUGACAGAGGUGCUGGUUUGUGGUGACAUGCUUAUCGUUCUCAUUCCCCUUGCUUAUGAGCUCUACCGCCUUGAUUUUUCUACCAAGCCCGCUUCAGUGAUGACCUUGGAGAAGCUGGACGACUGGGCACUUUUUAUCCGGGCUGAAGAAACGGGCACACCGCUUUCGUGCAUGAGUCCGGAACAAUGGGGAGGAAGGAGCAACAGCUGCUAG